Molecule: ribosomal RNA, 498 nt
Filed under: uncultured bacterium
Lineage: Bacteria
Description: partial 16S ribosomal RNA
Rfam family: Bacterial small subunit ribosomal RNA
Source: RNAcentral
GACGAACGCUGGCGGCGUGCCUAAUACAUGCAAGUCGAACGAGAGCGACCGGUGCUUGCACUGGUCAAUCUAGUGGCGAACGGGUGAGUAACACGUGGGUAACCUGCCCAUCAGAGGGGGAUAACAUCCGGAAACGGAUGCUAAAACCGCAUAGGUCUUCGAACCGCAUGGUUUGAAGAGGAAAAGAGGCGCAAGUUUCUGCUGAUGGAUGGACCCGCGGUGCAUUAGCUAGUUGGUGAGGUAACGGCUCACCAAGGCCGUGAUGCAUAGCCGACCUGAGAGGGUGAUCGGCCACAUUGGGACUGAGACACGGCCCAAACUCCUACGGGAGGCAGCAGUAGGGAAUCUUCCGCAAUGGACGCAAGUCUGACGGAGCAACGCCGCGUGAGUGAAGAAGGUUUUCGGAUCGUAAAACUCUGUUGUUAGAGAAGAACAAGUGCUAGAGUAACUGUUAGCGCCUUGACGGUAUCUAACCAGAAAGCCACGGCUAACUACGUG